This 776-nucleotide ribosomal RNA is filed under the name uncultured Neocallimastigales. Its description in RNAcentral is "partial large subunit ribosomal RNA". It matches the Rfam family "Eukaryotic large subunit ribosomal RNA", at positions 23 to 645 of the family's 3401-position model. Lineage: Eukaryota; Fungi; Neocallimastigomycota; Neocallimastigomycetes; Neocallimastigales. The record is from RNAcentral.
AGAGAGAGACAUGCGCGCAUAUCAAUAAGCGGAGGAAAAGAAACUAACAUAGGAUUCCUCUAGUAACGGCGAGUGAAGCGGGAAGAGCUCAAAUUUGAAAUCUUCAAGGUUCUACCUUGACGAAUUGUAGUUUAAAGAAGUGAUUUCUGUUGGAAGUUUUGGUAAAAGUUCUUUGGAAUAGGACAUCAUAGAGGGUGAGAAUCCCGUAUUUGACCAUUAUUUUCAGCUUUGUGAUACACUUUCAAAGAGUCGGAUUGUUUGGGAAUGCAGUCCAAAAUGGGUAGGUAAAUUUCAUCUAAAGCUAAAUAUUGGCGAGAGACCGAUAGCGAACAAGUACCGUGAGGGAAAGAUGAAAAGAACUUUGAAAAGAGAGUUAAACAGUACGUGAAAUUGUCAAAAGGGAAGCGUUUGACACCAGUGUUGUUUUUCUGAAAAUCAAUUAAAGAACUGUUUAUGCUAAGCUGUUUAGACUUUAUCAGCUAUCUGUUUAGUUUUGAGCUUUUCUUUAAUGCACUUUUCAGUUAACAAGUCAACAUCAAUUUCUUUUGCUGUAAAAAAGCUUGAGGAAGGUGGCUUGAGAUUCGUCUUAAGUGUUUAUAGCCUCUUGCCUAUGCAGUCGGAGAGAUUGAGGUCUGCAGCGUAGAUCCUUCGGGGCUAAAUGCAUUUGUGCUAAGUUAUAGCAUUUUAUAGACAACUUGUUGACUAUGAUUUGUCUUGUAGCUUACUCGCUUAUGUUAUUUUACCUACGCUUAGGAUGUUGAUGUGAUACUGCGAGC